GACUUGAAGCGACAAAGGGUUAAUUUGUCCUACAGAACAGAACGUCUGGUGGUAAGCCUCUUAGAGUAGAAUCGCUAACAGAGACCUAGGGCUCUGCUUCUUCUGCUCACCAUUAUCCUGUAGACUUUCCAGGAUGAAAAAGGUGGAGGGCUUGGCCAGAGAGAGAGAGAGAGAGCUCUAUGGACGUAAUAUUAUGCAUGAAUGAUUAAGCAUAAUUCUGGGUUUGCCCAAUUGGCGCUUCUAUUUAAUGAUGUUCACGCUGAACUUGGGAUGACUUGGACAGACCUACACCGAAGAUUCUGGUUUAUGACCGUGAAUUCGUUUAAGCAAUAAGGAUAAUUCAGCAUAAUUUUGGAUCCAUAAUUUUUACAGGAAGACUAGGUGAGGCAGGCAUUAGGGCUGAUUUUUAAAAUCGUGUGAGCACUGUGGUCUCUACUUCCCGUUGAAAACUCGACUGUGUUGGAUAGUCCUCCCUGAAAUGAGUGGUAUGCAGCCCUCACUCUCCUUUGCCUGGUAGAUUGGUUAACCAGGACCACAGUGAUUGUGUGAUUGGGGCACCAGCCGUUUUUCCUCACCUGGACAAGGAUCAGAAUUCAAGCUGAGAGUUUCAAAAACCAAGAGAAUGAAAGAAGGGACAUGCUUUCCCUUUAAAACCCUCCUCAUCGUCUUGGUUGAUCAGGCCAACCAUCGUCUUGACUGAGUAUAACCAGCUGGGGAUGGAUGUCCUUCAGUUUCCAUGAUUCGUGUGGCCACAUUCCAUAGCAGGAACCCUUCCAUGCACCGUGCCUGUGGGAGGGAAGGAGAGAAGGGAGCCGAAAAAGCACAAGAACACACUUCAGAGUCUGCUUGCCUCUAAGACAAUCUUCAGUGAAAUGUGGGAACCAAAUAUUACAUCUCAUGCUUUUUAAAAUUUUUUUAUUACUCAGUGAAUUUAUCACAUCUGUAACAUUUCAUACUUGAUCACUUGCUUAGUUCAAAGCACAGGGUCUCUGUUGGAAAGGGUUUCGCUGAGGUGGAAACUUUCUUCAAGUUUUCGUGAUCUCGUGCAGUGCUGUGAGCCGUCCUGGGAUACAGUAGUUAAUCUCCAUGCUCUGGCCCACAGUGCUGCAAUUUCAGCAAGGGUUGGGGGGGGUGGUGUUGGCUCGUCUGUACCAUGUGACGUUGUUGUCGUGUGACUCACUCAUUAGGGAGUCAUGCAGGAGUCUAGUCUGAACUGCCUUUUUUUUCCCUUUUGUUUUUCAUGGCAGCUACAUCCCAAGAACAUGAAGGUGGAAACUUCCAGGCCUGGUUAAUGCUAGAUUCCAGAAUUUACACAUCUCCUUGUCAUGUUGCGUGGGUCAUACAUAGCAAGACACCAGCCAGCCCAGAUUCCAGGAACAGGGAAACACAGUCCAACCCUUGCCCUUGAUGCAAACAGUGGCUUGUGCUCAGGGGGCUGGGAGAGAUUCUUGGUGGCCAUUUUUGCAGGCCACCUACAUACCCAGGAUCAACUCUCUAUGGAGACUUUAUCAGUUCCCUGGGGGAACCAUCCUUGCUCUUCCAGGGACUUGUUCCUCCCUCAGAUGGAGCAGCAGCACAUUGUAGAGAGUUUCCGAGCAAGGGCUUUAAAGUUGGAUUUCUGGUUUCUAAGCCUGGCUCUCCCGCGUGCUCGCUGUCAAAUCUUGAUCAAGUUCUUACUUGUUUGGGCUUCAGUGUUCUCAUCAUAGGUUAUUUGAGGUAUUUCACAGACUUAUACCAUGUACACCAUUCAGGAUAGUGCCUGAUACAUGAUCAGGGUUCAGUAAUACUGAUUCACAGCUGCUUCCUCCUCUUCUAUGAGUUUCUGAGGGUAGGGCUGGUGUUGGCAUCUUUAUGCUCUGAGACCUGGUAAAGAUUUUCAUGUGGUGGGGUCUCAGUAAAUAUGUGAUAACUGAAUAAAUGAAUCAAGGCUAUCCUUUUCUUUGUGUCCAUCUGAAGGCAAAUAUUUAUGUUCAAAAAAGUAUGGAUUUGGGUAGCAUAUAUCAUAUGCGCCAGAGAGACAAACACUUAACACCUAUUCGUUCAUUCAUUCAUUCAGCGCAUAGUAUUGAGCGCAGAUUAUGAGCUCGAAAGUCCAUUAUGUUGUGGAGAUAACAUGAUGCAUAAGCAUGUGUCAUACCUGCAUUCCUGGUAGUUAUCUUCUAGUGAGGAGAGAAAAUAAAUAAACUCAAGAUAAUACAGUAUUAAUAGCUGCAUGACAGAGGGUUUGAUUGGAUCGGGAAUGGGACGGCGAUGCAACUUUGGGUUGGUGGAACUCCCAACUUUUCUGAAGGGUUAGAAUUUCAGGAGAGACCUCAAGGAGAAAAAGUCAGUCGUUUGGAGAUGUGUGGGUAGGUCCUUCCCGGAAGGGAGAUGAGUAAAAACAGAGACUUGUGGUGGAAGGGAACCUGGGAUUUCAAACCAUGAGGAAGUCCCUUUGGCCUGGAUCUUGGUGAGCCAAAGCGAGAAGAGGGAGGCAGGGCUCCAUGGAGUGGCACUUUCGAUUCGCAUAUUCCUCUGAGCGCCGUGGCAUGCCGUCCGAGGUGUAAAUGUGGAGCAGGCAACAGAUGCCUUUCCUUGUAUUUCAUUUUUGGGUUAUUUUAUUGCUGACAGUCACCCAAGGCAGCCGUGACCCUAUAUACACACAGAUAUUGGAAAAUCCUGUUCUUUCGGGGUUGGGUUAUAGGAGUAUGGGGCGGUGGUAGUUUAGGGUGGCUGGAGAGGGAGGGGCCCUGUGCCAACAGCACUGGAACUCUUUUGAGUUCCCUGAGGAGAAUCCAGAUGGUCCAGGUUCUUUCUGUCUCCAGGAUGAAGUGAUGAUGAUGCUUGGCAGUGGCGACCAAUUCUUUCGCUUCUCCUCUGGGCCUGUCACUGUUCAGCGCUUCACUCACACCCUGCUUGACUUUGACACACACCCAGAAGAUAGCUGCCACUGGCGUCUGGGUUUUACAGACGAGCAUUAAGAUCUAUGAGGGGAAGUGCCUGCCCCGAGGUUCACUGCUCGGGAUUUGAGUCCGAAUCCCUGGACCUUCUCUUUCCAGCCCAUUUCCGAGUUCUGCUCCUCUGCGCCUCCUCCCGUGAAGGCUCCCCAGACGGGGCCGAUAGAUGGGGAGUGAAACUCAAUGAUCAGUUACGAGAUGUUCUCUAGAACUUGCGGAAAUCAUAGGGCGGGCGAGCUGCGCUGGUUUUGCAACAAUAGUCCUAAUGAGCAGUUUAGCGAUGAGCGGUGCACAUGUGUGGGGGAGCCUGCAGCACAGCCCGCCCUUGGCACACAUUUGUGUCAUUGUCUGGUGUCUGUGUACAACUCGAGAUUUCCAAAAUGUUCCCUGAGGGAGUGGAUGAAUGGCGUUUCUCCGAUUUUAUAGAUUUGGGGCUGAGGCAAGCUAAACAGCGGCCUCAAGUCACACAGCAAGAUGAGGGAGGCUUCUGAGGCCCGAAUGGAGAAGCCGUAUUCCCUGUCCUCCCUCUAGAGGUUAAGCCCUUUGACCUUCAGCUGAGGGCGGUCUCUGCAGGAGAGGUUUGCUGGCUCAUAGCGCAUCCAUUCCUUCUUUAGUUUGUCCACCGUCCAUGAAACGCCUCCAAGGUCUCAGGCACGCUGCUAGGCAAGGGAAGGGGAGGGGCCAGUAAGAUGUGGCCCCGACCUUGACAAGUUGUCCACUGUUUCCACUUGGACAUCUGCCUCCUUCAGCCUCCCUGGGUCCCAAACCCAGUCCAGUGGUGGUUAGAGAUGCAGCCCUGACCUAAGACUGCCAGGUUCAGGUCCUUGCUCUCUGUCCCCGAGGGCUAAUGUCUUAACUUUUCUGCCCCUUGGCAUCCUCACCUAGGAAGCUGCGGGAUGAGUAGAACAUAAACAAAAGAACUGUUGUGUAAAUAAAAUGACACAAUACAGCUUUCUUUUCACCUUCCCUGAUGAUAAGCAUUGCCUGGGAUGCUUGUUAAAAAUACAUGGGCAUUCUGAGGCGUUGGCUUUGGGGUUCAAGACCUCGUUUUUUCUUUGUUUUUCAGUUUUAAAUGUUGCAUGUGAUAGCUGUCAUUAGGAUACCCUGGGCAACGUUGAUAUAAUACAUGAAAAGCAAUGGUUCUCUACUUGCAUCUUUCACUUGCUUGAGGAGCUUUAAAAAUACAGAUGCCUGGGUCCCCCUUGAGAUUCUGUUUUCAUCGACCGGGGUGCAUAUCAGGAUGUUUAAAGGCUCCCCACGAAUUUCUAAUAUGCAACCAGGGUUGAGGAUACCUGCUAUAAGGUAUUGAGCACAGUGCCUGGCACAAAGUACUGUACACCAGAUAUGCUGUCAUCUUUGUCAUUGUUUUCAUGCUCCCCCCACCAAGGAAACGAGACACACACAAUUAAGGAGAAAAGAAAGAAUGUCAGCUUGUGUGUAGGAAGAAUGGCAAGAGCCAGUCUGAACUUCUGUAACAUUUCCUGUUGCCUUAUCGCAUUUAGACUCUCCCCUGAGCACCAAACCUCCAAUAAUUUUGUCAUUCCUCUUCUUGACUAGAAGGUCUAUCAGGAGCAAGAUAAUGCAUUUCAUUUUAAUUUUUUCAUAUUUCCCCAAAGAUUUAUCCAGUGCUUUGUAUACAUAGUAGGUACUAAGCAACUCCUUAUCACGUUAAGAAGGUAAAUAUAUUGGUGCAGGAAUAGGAGGGACAGAAUAUUACAGGAAGGGUGAGGAAGGAAGGAACUGAGGACGGUUGGAGAGCGUUUGAGUUAUCACUUGAAGAGUGGCUUGACGUUUCCAAGUGGAGCGAAGGGGAGCCUUUCCGGUGGGCGAAAUGGUUCGAGCACAUUUGGGGACAAGGAAAUAUAUGCCUGUGCAAGGACAAGAGAAUACUCAGUUUGGGAUGGAGGAAGUACUGCAGGGAGACCUGAAUUAAAAGGACAGCUGAAAGAAGAUGCUAGAGGGUUCGUAGUAUUACCUCGUGCAUACAUAAUCCUGAGGAAACCGAGGCACAGAGAGCCUGGGUCCCUUUGCCAGGCAUGCACUGGUGGGUCUGGGAUGGGAAGCUUGGCUCAGGCAGCUCCCACGCUCCAAGCCGCUACUCCCUCCGGGCUCCCAGCAUCUUGAACAGCAGGGGGAUAAUGAAGACUUUCUCAGCAGAAGCAUGACAGCCUCAGACAGAUUCUGUAGAACAAUCUGAGAGGAACGGUGGAGAGGGGUGAAACCAGAGAUCAGGAGAGCAGUGCUUUGCUUUUCAAAAAGGGUGAGCCACACACACACACACACACACACACAAAACCAGCACCAAGGUCAGCGCACAAAGUAUAUAAAUAUACGGCAGGCAUUCUCGUCGCCUGAACAGAGGCGGGCCACCAAUUUGGAAGUGAGCGUUCUGGCAGCCAGCGUGAUUCAUGGAGGUCGUAAAGGGUACGUAGAAUGGUCACUCGGGAGAUGUCCAGCUCUUGCCUUUUCUGAAACCAGAGAGCAGAUCCCUUCUAUGCCUCUCAAAGGGAGGGACCCUGCGUGAAAUGCUGCGUAUCGCUCUCGACAGCGGGAACAGCAAGGGGUCCGUGGUGCUGCUUCACGGAUGGUCCUUAACAAGGAUGGUCGUAGCAGUGGGUUACACUCCAUCUUGACCCUGCAGGAUCUGCAUUUUCAGAUGUGAACAUUCCAGCAUUAAAGUUUUCCUAUUAUUCUCAUGCAUUACACCAUACCACUCCUGUGCCACCUCCCCAAAGUCGUGGUUGUCUUUUUUUAAGUCAACUAAAUGAUUGAGCUCUUCCUCCUCUGGCUCACUUUAUUUCCAGUGCUGAGACUGCAAGGCUUGGCUUUUAAAUAUGUACAUUAUAAUUUCUUGACGUCAUAUCUUAAGCAUUUAUAAUGAAGUGCCAAUAGCUGUGGCGAUAUAAUAAUGCAAAUCCUCCUAACGACAUGUUAGAACAGAACAGAAGCAUCUCAUACUUCUCUCCCUUGACACAUUGCUGCUGUUUUCAAAACUCUUCAUAUCCUGUUGGCGUAGAACCAUACGUUUCUCAUUUUGAAAGUUGCCUAAAGCUUAUGCAGCCUAAAGCUUAUCCAUCCCCUUCCCACCACCUCGGGUCACAAGAUGUUGCAAAAUCCAACCGAGCGUGAUUCCUCCCCUUCCAGGUGUCACCCCCACCUUCCCUCCAGGAGACCAGCUUCCGGGCGACGAAAGGGGAAGGGGAGGUUAUCAAUGGCUAGGAGUUAAACACCUGCUCCGUGUCAGGCACUUUGCAUAUUACCUACUGGAAGUGGGCCACACAUUCAGUGACAUGCAUAUGCCUCCCACCUAAAUAAGCAAACUAGCCUGUCUCGGUGUAUACAGCUCGUGAGUGUCCGAGAAAGAGUCUAUCUCAAAUCUGAUGCCACCUCCUGAGUUCUGUCCAUGGUAAUAUACCUUUGCAAGGUUAAACCUGAGAACAUAGGUGCUGUGAUUUCAGUUCCAGGUACAAUGAUGUACACACACUGCAUCUUGUCUCUUCCCCUGAAUGACGCUCAGAAGGAUAGAAGGGGAAGCUAUGCCUGAAGGGGCCAUUUGAAGACUGUGAAAGCAGCAGUGGCAGGCAGAUUGCAGAAGAAGGGCGGAAUGCAAAGUGUCAUUGUACCCUUGGUGAGCUUGCCAGUUUUUUAUUCUCCUCUACCCCACAGCCUGGACUCAAGGCAGCUCAACACAUAAAGUGGUCCUUCAUGCAUACAGGCAGAACUCCAAAAGAAGCUCUCUGGUCCUGGCUACAGGGGCAGGAAAAGGGCACCCAAAUGUCAGAGAGAGCAGGUCUCUCAAGUCAUCCCUCCUGAAAAAUACAUUUACUCUUUUAAGCCCCGAUGCCCAGGUAAUCACUGUACAUGGUGACAGUGCAGUGUGAGUGAUGGAACUGGGGCUCUUCAAACUCCUAAAACUCUAAGGGAGAUAUAAGCCUUCCUUUCUCCUUGGUCCCAAGAGGUCGUGGAGUAUCCCCAUUGCUUUUUUCCUCUUUUCUCUUCCCACCACUUGGCUGCGGAUGCAGGUGCUCUUGUGGGGAAGCCAAAACAAAAGCCCUAGGUUUCUCGUGGGGCCACCAACGCAGGAAGCCUUGGAAACAUGGACUGUAGCAGGGAGAUGAUGGAAAGAGAGGAGCUUGGCAAAGUCAGCCCAUUGAGUCGUGUGUAAGCUCCUGGAAUCACUCCUACCCUAAGUAUGUCUGUUUCUUUCUGAUCCCAAAGAACACACCAGAGAUUUUGAGAACUGAAUUGACAGACCCCCACAUCAGGUCCCAGACGGCCCUCUGGGUAGGACACAUGUGGUUCAAUUGAAAUAGCCAUCCAAAGGCUUUGAAAAAAGGGGCAAAAAUUGAAACCACAACCUGCAGAAGUCUAGGGAGAAUUUGUAGCUUGACCCAGUAGGGCUGAUUGUCUGGUAAACCAACAUUCUCCGUAGGAUUUAAACAAGAUCCAAUGUCUUCUAACCUAAUAUCUAACACAUCCUACAUGCAAUCUAAUGUUUUCUGGCCUGCGAAGGACCAGGAAAAGAACAACUUGCAUGGGAAAAGACAAUCAGUCGCAUACCAGUGCCGAAAUGACACGGAUUUUAGAAUUACCUGAUAAAGUCUUUAAAGCAGCUGAUCCAAGAAAAGCCUCCACUUUUGAAAAGCAUGGAAUAAUAAAACACUUAGCAAAAUCAAUAAAAUAUAUAAAAAAAUGGAAAUUUUGGAAAAAGAAGUAGAAUACCUAAAUUUUGGAAAUAUAAAUAGAAUACCU
This 7688-nucleotide long non-coding RNA is filed under the name Sus scrofa (pig). Its description in RNAcentral is "lncRNA (ENSSSCG00065006759.1)". Lineage: Eukaryota; Metazoa; Chordata; Mammalia; Artiodactyla; Suidae. The record is from RNAcentral.